GCCGAAGUGGCGGAAUUGGCAGACGCGCUAGGUUCAGGUCCUAGUGGGACCUUUAAAUCCCGUGGGGGUUCGAAUCCCCCCUUCGGCA
RNAcentral lists this transfer RNA (88 nucleotides) under Planctomycetota bacterium. RNAcentral describes it as "Planctomycetes bacterium tRNA-Leu". It matches the Rfam family "tRNA". From Rfam's summary of the family: Transfer RNA (tRNA) molecules are approximately 80 nucleotides in length. Their secondary structure includes four short double-helical elements and three loops (D, anti-codon, and T loops). The record is from RNAcentral. Lineage: Bacteria; Pseudomonadati; Planctomycetota.